Callorhinus ursinus (northern fur seal) is the source of this 200-nucleotide non-coding RNA. The record is from RefSeq and is a predicted model, not a curated record. NCBI's taxonomy places the organism in Eukaryota, Metazoa, Chordata, Mammalia, Carnivora, Otariidae.
UGGGGUACAUGAGGGCAGAAUGGCACCCGGCUCUUCCCAUUCAUUGAACAAACUUACAUAACGCUUCCAAAGUGUUUCUAAGCAAUUCUUUAAUAUUCAUUUAACACCAUGACUUAAGGACUAUUUUUUCCUUGCUUUUCAGAAAAGAAAGUUGGGGCAUUUAUGGGUUGAGCCACUGAGCAAGUCACUUAACUACUCUG